UACCCAGAAAGACCAGUGUUGAAUACAACUUCCCCUGCUGUGGAGGAUGGAUAGCCAAAAGAAUAGCCCUUCAUCUUCAUCCCAUCUUCCAGCACCAAGUUCGCAUCACUUACCUGAGCUCUGGGUGACAGUCACAGGUACUUUGGAUUUAUCCUGGGCAGCAGCAGGUCCAACUGACCAUAACCAUUUAGAAAACAACAUACUGAAACGAAACUGCUUGGCAACAGGCAGGAUAAUUUGGGAGAAGUAUCUUUGUCGUUAAGUGAUCUGGAAAAAGAAAAAGAGAAUACAAGAGGAAUCAAAGACAAAAGAAAGACUCUAAAGGUGAAAUGCCUUGCGCUGGAAGUUAAUACUGAACUGUGCCUGGGGGAAAGACAGCAGAGAGUAUUGUUUUGACCUGCAGAUGGAAGGGAAACCACAGGGCUGGGAAUUUAGCCAUAAGCAAAAGACCCCACAUUAUUUUUGCUGAUGCUAGAGCUGUAUAACCUUCCUCCCAGACUUGAAUGCAAGGCAAUGACAUGAUUGAAACUCUCUAAACAAGAAACAGCUGAGUGAAAAGGAACUGAAAGCAAAUCCAAUUGGGAUUCCCUCUUUGCUGCUUGGUUGUCACCACCUCCUGCAAUAAUAUCUUUUUUUCUUU
Molecule: long non-coding RNA, 640 nt
Organism: Pezoporus flaviventris
Lineage: Eukaryota; Metazoa; Chordata; Aves; Psittaciformes; Psittacidae
Exons: 2
Source: RefSeq, a predicted model, not a curated record